UAAAACAUUCUGUAGAGUACUGUAUUUCUCUCAAAACAAAUGCUUCACAAUGUGCUUCUCAGAGGGAGGAAAUCAUAUGUACUGUAUUUCAAAGCCUUUAUGGACUUGGCAUACCCUUUAAGAAGUCUAGAGCAGUAUCAACAUUGAGAAAUGAAUGCCCAUUAGACCCAGCCAGACAUUCACUACGGGCAUAUAACUUCCUUUUAUGUACAUUUAUGGAAUUGUCUGUGAAGUGGAUGAUCAUAUUGCUCAGUUCAUACUUAGGCAGACUUUGGUUUUGACAAAGCAGCAUUCUGAGAGAGUUGGACAAUACCCAAAGUUAGACAAACCCAAUGCUGCCAAACCACUAAACUCAAAGCCGACAUUUUGGAUUUGCAGACACAUUCUCAGAGGAUUUCUUCCCACCUGAUUUCUUCCAAUGUCUGCUGAAGUAGAUAUUUAAAGCUCUCAAGCACUGAAAAUUCCAUAAACAAUGUAUUUUGUGGCUCAGAUAUAAUCCCUUUACUAAUCUGUGUGUCUUACUGUAAUUACAGGGAUAUUGUGGGGGUUUGUUAUUUAUCCUUAUAGACCUAAUUCAACUGUCUGAAAACAGAAUAUUGCAUUUCAAAAGUUAUGUUCAUAUUUAGUUCUGGCAGUUGCAUGUCCAGAUAUGUCAGUAACAUUAAACUUAAUGAACCGAUACAAGCAUGGUUACGACCAUAUUUAUCUUCAUAGUUCAUAUCUUUUGUUUUAGGAUUCCUUCCAAGGAAACUCUCCUGAGCAAUCUCCAAAACCAACAUGGAGCUCCAGUCAAAGCAAACUGUCUCAAUCAUCAACAUCGUGAUACUGGUAUCAUCCCGGCCCCACUGAAAAGGAGAACUACAAAGCCUAAACCAUAGUCCACAGCCGCUGAGGCGUGAUAGUCCAGCGUCCUAUUGUGACAUAGCUACAUAUCUCUGAGACCACCAUCCGCGGGGGAAGCACACCUGCCGACAAUUCAAAAACCAGCGCGGCUCCGCAGUCUCCCAGUCCCUGGCGUGAAAAGUGUCCCCACA
Salvelinus sp. IW2-2015 is the source of this 1034-nucleotide long non-coding RNA. RefSeq lists it as uncharacterized. The record is from RefSeq and is a predicted model, not a curated record. Lineage: Eukaryota; Metazoa; Chordata; Actinopteri; Salmoniformes; Salmonidae.